This is a long non-coding RNA of Calidris pugnax (ruff), 3698 nucleotides long. RefSeq lists it as uncharacterized. NCBI's taxonomy places the organism in Eukaryota, Metazoa, Chordata, Aves, Charadriiformes, Scolopacidae. The transcript has 4 exons. The record is from RefSeq and is a predicted model, not a curated record.
AUAUCACUCAUCCUUGCGUAAGCUUUUUAAUUGUCAUAGAUAAUGAGAGAACCUUGGUGAAAAGAUGGAAAAAUUGAAUGUAAUAUGCCUGCUUAUAAAUAUCUAUAUUUGGAUAUUGGUUUCCUUUUCCUCUGUCUCAUUUUCAGACUGUUUUCCCCAAUUUGAACUGAAGUGCAGGAGCUCAAAUGAAGAAUUUGGCCUGAUUCUCAUCUCAGGCUAUUUUUACAGGGUUGUUUCCAGUGAAGUGGCUCUUCCCAAAAAGAAAGGGAAGAACCAAGCCUUUGGCUAAUAAUUGCAACAUGGAGAUGGCACAUGGGCACUGCGCCACUCUUCCAGUUUUAAUAUUUAUAACUGAGGUUUUUUUCAGGAGGUUCUUAAUUUCCCAGGACUAUGGCUGCUUUCAGACCAACUCUUGGUGGUUUGGCUCCUUCCCUGAUGUGAACUCAGCUCCCAGCCUUCCUCCAUCCCUGACAAGAGCCCUGUGCUCAGAACCUCUGCUGAUCCCAUCCCACCUUUCAUUUUGUCGGAGCUAAUUGCUAAAAUAUUUCUUUUAGAGGGGCUAGAUCAACGCCAAGUGCAUCUCUUGAUUGAUUUCGGGGUGUUUUGGAUUUGGCCCUUGAUGAUUUUCUAAGGUUAGUUUCACUUGUUACACGGAGUUGUGUCAGAUUUGCCCCUCUGUGAUUUGGCAGAGGUGUGGGGUGGAAAUGGAGAAGCUUCUGCUGGUUUGGGUUGGGUUCUGAGCACAUUCAGCCAAAUGCCCCUCUUUGAAUAAACAUUUAUCAGUCAGUCUCCACCCUUGAAGAUUUUCAAUAUCUGACUUGGAUAAAGCCCUGAACAGCCUGGGCUGACCUCUGAGCAAAUCCUCCUUGAGCAAGAGGGUCAUCCAGAGACCUCCUGAGAUCUCUUGAAUCCUAAAUUAUCCUGUGGUCCUAUUCUGCAAACAGUAGAUUUUUUUUAAACCAACUUUGACUCGGAAUGCAGAGUGCAGUGUCCCCCAGGAAAGGGCUCAUUUUGAAAGAAAUAAAAAAGAAUUUGAAAAUCAGAAGUGUUUCAGAAGCAAGGGUCAAUUUUCAAGAUGUUAAAUUAAGCGAAAUGGCUCCUUUUAUUAAUAUUUUUCCCUUUUUUUGAUAACAAAUAUUUUGCUAAAUUCAUGUUGCACUUCUGUUGCUGUCACUGUAUACAGCAUAAUGCGUAUCCAGAUUAGAACAGAAUGUCAUCUACAUGUUAAAAUAUAGAUAAAUAGAUCUAUUAAGGUUUUCCAUGGUACAUUGAGACUGAACCUUUGUAAUCUGAAAGCCUAGCAGAGUGCACAAGCCAAUUUUUUGGCUUGACAUUAUAAAUUUAAAUGCCCUUAACAAGUCAAGAAGUAACCAGGCUCUCGGAGGAUGGGGCAAAAGUUUGCUUUGCAAAGGGAACCUGUGGAUACAAAGUUAUCUGUGCACAGAUAUAAAAGAAAUGGGUAAUUUUGUGAGAAAUAUAUACAACUGCAUUAAAAAAAAGUCCCCUUUUCUUGCAUAACUGUCGUUUAUUUUGUAGAUGUGCACGAUUCUGCACCCUUUUUGUCAUGGGCUGCCUUAAACUCUUGCUGUGGAGAAUGGGAUCCUCCAAUACACUACUUCUAUGUGUGCAAGGAAAGCUGGGUGUGUUUUUCACUCCCUUGUGAAAUGAACCGUGGGCACCUGAAAAGGAGCCAGUUCCUUUUUCCUCCAGUGUUAUAUGAGCGUUGCUCCAGGUCCCAGCCUGCUAUUGUCUCAAUUUGAGUAUAAACCCAUCAGCAAACCUGUCUCUGGUGGAGACCACACUGUUGGCCAACUUCUUGCUAGACCGUGGAAGUGUGUGUAUGUAUAAACAGGCACAUAAACCACUCUAUAUAUAUUUUUAAACCCAUUAUUUUUUUAAAUAUAUAUAUAAUACACCUAUUAAAAAAGCCAUAUGCAUGUCAGUAUAAGACAGCGAUAAUGCCUGUGAUGAUGAACACAAAAUGUUUGUGCAUUAAAAGGAAGCCAAAUAAUACCUUUUCAAAUAACAAAUGUUUUUCUUUCCUUGCCCUUUUCUCUUUGUGUUUGUUGGGUUGUUUUUUUCCUGUUGCUGCUGUGGGAAACUAGGAUGGAGGAGGUUUGGUUCGUUACCAGGCAAAAUGUGAAUACAGCUGUGAAAUUAAUUCUUUUUUUUGGGGGGGGAGGGAGGGGAAUGUGCAAUAGUGGUGAAAGCAGUUGUAGGAAAAGGACUGUUUCAUGAUGCAAAUGACAGUGACAUUAAAUCAUAGCUUAAAGAGAUGUUGAGGCAAACUUAGCUGAAUUCUGCCUUGCCAGCAGCUGGUGGUUGGGACUAAAGGACACAGUGGGCUCUUUGCACGCUCAGAAGCACCGCAGGCUGAAGGGGACAGAGAGACAUUGCCUUCACUGCUCCCUUCUCCUGUGUGUGGCCAUUUUUUUGGCAUGUUGCAUUUCUGGGUGCCCUGAGACUCAUUCUUCCACGGCAGACAUGACUGAGGCCAAACCUGCUCUCCUUAGUCUUUGGCUCUGAGGCCAGAAUGGCCUCCCUUUGAGCCUCCUUCUCCUUUUGGGGCAACCACACCUUCCAGUCUAGUUGUCACACAGCAGACACGGCCAUCCCACAACAGUGGCACUGUCCCAGGAGCUCACCUUUCCUCGUGAAAAAUGAUGGAUUUCUUUUAGAGAGUUCGGUUUAAUUGAAAUGUGUGGAUUUUUAUCAACUCCUCAUUGGGUGUUCAGUGCCUUCCUAAGCCAUCUGUCCAAGAAAAUGUGUGUCAUCAGCAUGUUCUAUUGAUGCAACUUUAUUUGGAAAUAAGUAAUUAUUUAUUAAUUAAUAAACAAAAUAAAUGGGACUUGUUUUACAAUACUGGAAUGACUUCUAGCCAGCUUUUUCAUUGUGAUUAUGUCUCACUGUAAUUUUAUUUCCAGUUGUGCCAGCAGAAAAAGUUGACAACAUGGAAGUGUGUGUUUGUGUGUGCGUGUAGGUGAUACACAAUUAAAAGACGUAGGAGAUAACUGGAUGCAGGGCUUCAUCCCUGUUCCUCCUCCUCCUAAAGAGAGGGAGCAGAAGGUUGGGCAGAAACACCUUUGGCCCAGGACUCCUGUGACCGUUCCCACCCCUCCAUGCAGUGUGAGGGCAGCGAUUUGGCCAGAGGACCCUGGAGAUGUGGUGCCAGCACCCAGUCCAGCAGCACUGGAAGAGGAUCACCUUCUUGCAACCACCCAGAGGACAUCAGGGCUUUCACAUUCCCUGUGCUCCAUCCACCUGAGGGACGUCACCAGUGGAUGCUAGAGCAGAAUGGUAAAAGCAUUGACUGCAGAAGAAGCCAUCAAAGUUAAAUACCGAAAAACCUACGCAGGCCAACACUUUAAAUCCUGGGAAGGAGAAAGCUGAAGAGUGCAGCAGAAGUGCAAACUUCUCAGAGCCACAGCCCUACCAGCAGGGUUUUCUCCCUGACCCUGACACAAGGUGGAGGGGAGUCCUCUGGGAGGUGCAGAGAAGAUCAACCCAAACUUACCAAGGGCAGCAACCUGUGGGGAACACAGCAGGGAGGACACCGACUGCAAGAGGGAAGAGGCAUAAGGAGGCCCACAUAGACGUGGAAGAGAGAAAAAAGCAUGGAGAGCUGAGAGGACCUCAUGAAGAAGAUCCCAUGGCUUGGUGUCUUUCAUCAACCCUCCAUUAACAAAGCCCAGACCAAG